UCAGGAUGAACGCUGGCGGCGUGCUUAACACAUGCAAGUCGAACGGAAAGGCCUGUACUUGUACAGGUACUCGAGUGGCGAACGGGUGAGUAACACGUGGGUGAUCUGCCCUGCACUGUGGGAUAAGCCCGGGAAACUGGGUCUAAUACCAUAUAGGACCACUUCUUGGAUGUUGUGGUGGAAAGCUUUGCGGUGUGGGAUGAGCCUGCGGCCUAUCAGCUUGUUGGUGGGGUAAUGGCCUACCAAGGCGGCGACGGGUAUCCGGCCUGAGAGGGUGUACGGACACAUUGGGACUGAGAUACGGCCCAGACUCCUACGGGAGGCAGCAGUGGGGAAUAUUGCACAAUGGGCGCAAGCCUGAUGCAGCGACGCCGCGUGGGGGAUGACGGCCUUCGGGUUGUAAACUCCUUUCGCUAUCGACGAAGCCACCUUGGGUGGUGACGGUAGGUAGAUAAGAAGCACCGGCUAACUACGUGCCAGCAGCCGCGGUAAUACGUAGGGUGCAAGCGUUGUCCGGAAUUACUGGGCGUAAAGAGCUCGUAGGUGGUUUGUCGCGUCGUCUGUGAAAUCCCGGGGCUUAACUUCGGGCGUGCAGGCGAUACGGGCAUAACUUGAGUGCUGUAGGGGAGACUGGAAUUCCUGGUGUAGCGGUGAAAUGCGCAGAUAUCAGGAGGAACACCGAUGGCGAAGGCAGGUCUCUGGGCAGUAACUGACGCUGAGGAGCGAAAGCAUGGGUAGCGAACAGGAUUAGAUACCCUGGUAGUCCAUGCCGUAAACGGUGGGCGCUAGGUGUAGGGGGCUUCCACGUCUUCUGUGCCGUAGCUAACGCAUUAAGCGCCCCGCCUGGAGACCCGACCUCAC
Molecule: ribosomal RNA, 861 nt
Filed under: Corynebacterium sp. M_Sw_oHS_07/11_7_1(2)
Lineage: Bacteria; Bacillati; Actinomycetota; Actinomycetes; Mycobacteriales; Corynebacteriaceae
Description: bacterial SSU rRNA
Rfam family: Bacterial small subunit ribosomal RNA
Source: RNAcentral